AUUGAACGCUGGCGGCAUGCCUUACACAUGCAAGUCGAACGGCAGCACGGGUGCUUGCACCUGGUGGCGAGUGGCGAACGGGUGAGUAAUACAUCGGAACAUGUCCUGUAGUGGGGGAUAGCCCGGCGAAAGCCGGAUUAAUACCGCAUACGAUCUACGGAUGAAAGCGGGGGACCUUCGGGCCUCGCGCUAUAGGGUUGGCCGAUGGCUGAUUAGCUAGUUGGUGGGGUAAAGGCCUACCAAGGCGACGAUCAGUAGCUGGUCUGAGAGGACGACCAGCCACACUGGGACUGAGACACGGCCCAGACUCCUACGGGGGGAAGCAGUGGGGAAUUUUGGACAAUGGGCGAAAGCCUGAUCCAGCAAUGCCGCGUGUGUGAAGAAGGCCUUCGGGUUGUAAAGCACUUUUGUCCGGAAAGAAAUCCUUGGCCCUAAUACGGUCGGGGGAUGACGGUACCGGAAGAAUAAGCACCGGCUAACUACGUG
RNAcentral lists this ribosomal RNA (486 nucleotides) under uncultured bacterium. RNAcentral describes it as "partial 16S ribosomal RNA". It matches the Rfam family "Bacterial small subunit ribosomal RNA", at positions 30 to 507 of the family's 1533-position model. The record is from RNAcentral.